GCGCCUGUAGCUCAGUUGGAUAGAGCGCCGGACUACGAAUCCGUAGGUCACAAGUUCGAAUCUUGUCAGGCGCGCCA
Molecule: transfer RNA, 77 nt
Filed under: Deltaproteobacteria bacterium
Lineage: Bacteria; Pseudomonadati; Myxococcota; Myxococcia
Description: tRNA-Arg
Rfam family: tRNA
About the family: Transfer RNA (tRNA) molecules are approximately 80 nucleotides in length. Their secondary structure includes four short double-helical elements and three loops (D, anti-codon, and T loops).
Source: RNAcentral